UACGUAGGGUGCGAGCGUUAAUCGGAAUUACUGGGCGUAAAGCGUGCGCAGGCGGUUCUGUAAGUCUGUCGUGAAAUCCCCGGGCUCAACCUGGGAACUGCAUUUGUGACUGCAUGGCUGGAGUGCGGCAGAGGGGGAUGGAAUUCCGCGUGUAGCAGUGAAAUGCGUAGAUAUGCGGAGGAACACCGAUGGCGAAGGCAAUCCCCUGGGCCUGCACUGACGCUCAUGCACGAAAGCGUGGGGAGCAAACAGG
Molecule: ribosomal RNA, 253 nt
Filed under: uncultured bacterium
Lineage: Bacteria
Description: partial 16S ribosomal RNA
Rfam family: Bacterial small subunit ribosomal RNA
Source: RNAcentral